AUUGAACGCUGGCGGCAUGCCUUACACAUGCAAGUCGAACGGCAGCACGGGUGCUUGCACCUGGUGGCGAGUGGCGAACGGGUGAGUAAUAUAUCGGAACGUACCUUAUUGUGGGGGAUAACGCAGCGAAAGCUGUGCUAAUACCGCAUAAUCCCUAAGGGGGAAAGCGGGGGACCGUAAGGCCUCGCGCAAUUAGAGCGGCCGAUACCUGAUUAGCUAGUUGGUGAGGUAAAGGCUUACCAAGGCAACGAUCAGUAGCUGGUCUGAGAAGACGAUCAGCCACCCUGGGACUGAGACACGGCCCAGACUCCUACGGGAGGCAGCAGUGGGGAAUUUUGGACAAUGGGGGCAACCCUGAUCCAGCAAUGCCGCGUGAGUGAAGAAGGCCUUCGGGUUGUAAAGCUCUUUUGUCAGGGAAGAAACAGCAGCUCUAACACAGUAUGCGAAUGACGGUACCUGAAGAAUAGGCACCGGCUAACUACGUGCCAGCCGCCGCGGUAA
Molecule: ribosomal RNA, 501 nt
Filed under: uncultured bacterium
Lineage: Bacteria
Description: partial 16S ribosomal RNA
Rfam family: Bacterial small subunit ribosomal RNA
Source: RNAcentral